This 383-nucleotide ribosomal RNA is filed under the name uncultured eukaryote. RNAcentral's name for it is "SSU rRNA". It matches the Rfam family "Eukaryotic small subunit ribosomal RNA", at positions 587 to 972 of the family's 1831-position model. The record is from RNAcentral.
AGCUCCAAUAGCGUAUAUUAAAGUUGUUGCAGUUAAAAGCUCGUAGUUGGAUUUUUGAGUCAAGCUCCUGGUCCGCCGCUAUGCGGUGCCGACUGUGUGUAGCGUUGUCUCUUCCUUGUGGGAAUUCCAGUUUGGGCUUCGCUGUCCGGCUGGCGGAACCGCAUCAUUUACUGUGAAAAAUUAGAGUGUUCAAAGCAGGCUUACGCUGUGAAUACAUUAGCAUGGAAUAAUACGAUAGGACUUUGGUUCUAUUUUGUUGGUUGGAGGCCAAGGUAAUGAUUAAUAGGGAUAGUUGGGGGUAUUCAUAUUUAAUUGUCAGAGGUGAAAUUCUUGGAUUUAUGAAAGAUGAACUUAUGCGAAAGCAUUUACCAAGGAUGUUUUCA